RNAcentral lists this ribosomal RNA (253 nucleotides) under uncultured bacterium. RNAcentral's name for it is "partial 16S ribosomal RNA". It matches the Rfam family "Bacterial small subunit ribosomal RNA", at positions 524 to 776 of the family's 1533-position model. The record is from RNAcentral.
GACGAACCGUGCGAACGUUGUUCGAAAUCACUGGGCUUAAAGGGCGCGUAGGCGGGCUGUCAAGUCUGGGGUGAAAUGCCGCGGCUCAACCGUGGAACUGCCUUAGAUACUGACGGCCUCGAGGGAGGUAGGGGCGUGCGGAACUGUAGGUGGAGCGGUGAAAUGCGUUGAUAUCUACAGGAACUCCGGUGGCGAAAGCGGCGCGCUGGACCUCUUCUGACGCUGAGGCGCGAAAGCUAGGGGAGCAAACGGG